CUACUUUUUUAAUCUGAUUUAUUUCAAUUAAAAUCAGAUAUAAAUGGUAUAUGAUCAAUCUCUUUAAGCAUGUACAAGAGGCACCCUAAAAAUACAUGUCAGGUAGUUGGGGUGCCAAGAGUUGGCGCCCCACAAUAGGAUUUCUAGCCAAAUAAGAAAAGGCAUGGCCCCACCUCUCUCUCCUUCAUGCCAUGCCACAUAAGAGGGGACGGGCCCCUCAAGGAUUUGAUGCCCAGUUCCUACCA
RNAcentral lists this long non-coding RNA (245 nucleotides) under Elaeis guineensis (African oil palm). RNAcentral describes it as "long non-coding RNA (EGUI_LNC045709)". The record is from RNAcentral. Lineage: Eukaryota; Viridiplantae; Streptophyta; Magnoliopsida; Arecales; Arecaceae.